This 253-nucleotide ribosomal RNA is filed under the name uncultured bacterium. RNAcentral describes it as "partial 16S ribosomal RNA". It matches the Rfam family "Bacterial small subunit ribosomal RNA", at positions 524 to 776 of the family's 1533-position model. The record is from RNAcentral. RNAcentral also lists the same sequence under 1 other name.
GACGGAAGGUGCAAGCGUUGCUCGGAAUCACUGGGCGUAAAGGGUGCGUAGGCGGCUUCUUAAGUCUGGUGUGAAAGCCCAGGGCUCAGCUCUGGAAGUGCACUAGAAACUGGGAAGCUUGAGUACCGGAGGGGAGAGUGGAAUUCCUGGUGUAGCGGUGAAAUGCGUAGAUAUCAGGAGGAAUACCGGUGGCGAAAGCGACUCUCUGGACGGUUACUGACGCUGAGGCACGAAAGCGUGGGGAGCAAACAGG